AGCGAACGUUGGCGGCGUGGAUUAGGCAUGCAAGUCGAACGCGAACGUCGGGCUUCGGCCUGACUAGUAGAGUGGCGAACGGGUGAGUAACGCGUGGGCAAUCUGCCCUCUAGUGGGGAAUAACCUCUCUAACGAGUGGCUAAUUCCGCAUGUGACCGUUUCUUCGCAUGGAGAGACGGGGAAAGGUGGGGAUCUUCGGACCUGCCGCUAGAGGAGGAGCCCGCGUCCCAUUAGCUUGUUGGCGGGGUAACGGCCCACCAAGGCGACGAUGGGUAGCCGAUCUGAGAGGAUGACCGGCCACACUGGGACUGAGAUACGGCCCAGACUCCUACGGGAGGCAGCAGUCGAGAGGCUUCGGCAAUGGGGGAAACCCUGACCGAGCGACGCCGCGUGCGGGAAGACGGCUUUCGGGUUGUAAACCGCUGUCAGGAGGGAAGAAUCCCCACGGGUGAAUACCCCGUGGGUUGACGGUACCUCCAAAGGAAGCUCCGGCUAACUCCGUG
RNAcentral lists this ribosomal RNA (503 nucleotides) under uncultured bacterium. RNAcentral describes it as "bacterial SSU rRNA". It matches the Rfam family "Bacterial small subunit ribosomal RNA", at positions 28 to 507 of the family's 1533-position model. The record is from RNAcentral.